UUCAGAAUAGCUUAAUUUAAAGCAUUGAUUUUGUAAUUCAAAGAUAGACUUUUUUUUCUGUAGC
Molecule: transfer RNA, 64 nt
Filed under: Planorbella pilsbryi
Lineage: Eukaryota; Metazoa; Mollusca; Gastropoda; Planorbidae
Description: tRNA-Thr
Rfam family: tRNA
About the family: Transfer RNA (tRNA) molecules are approximately 80 nucleotides in length. Their secondary structure includes four short double-helical elements and three loops (D, anti-codon, and T loops).
Source: RNAcentral